CCAGCUCUCUUUGCCAAAUGGCUUAGAUCAAGUGUAGUAUCUGUUCUUUUCAGUUUAAUCUCUGAAAGGUCUCUACUGAGACCAAUCGUGAUUAUUCUUAUUUUUGAUCUUGGGGCUGGUUUCCGCUGUGCAUGCACAUGAUUCCGCCCACAGUGUCCCUGGUAUUACACUGCCUCCAGGCGACGCGAACAUCC
Molecule: small nuclear RNA, 194 nt
Filed under: Escovopsis weberi
Lineage: Eukaryota; Fungi; Ascomycota; Sordariomycetes; Hypocreales; Hypocreaceae
Description: U2 spliceosomal RNA
Rfam family: U2 spliceosomal RNA
About the family: U2 is a small nuclear RNA (snRNA) component of the spliceosome (involved in pre-mRNA splicing).
Source: Rfam by way of RNAcentral